CUGGAUCCUAGAUCCUAGAUCCGAGAUCCUAGAGCCUAGAUCCUAGAUCCUAGAUCCUAGAUCCCAGAUCCUAGAUCCCAGAUCCUAGAUCCCAGAUCCUAGAUCCUAGAUCCUAGAU
Molecule: non-coding RNA, 118 nt
Organism: Caenorhabditis elegans
Lineage: Eukaryota; Metazoa; Nematoda; Chromadorea; Rhabditida; Rhabditidae
Source: Ensembl